UUAUCCUGCUUCUUUCGUCGGAGGGUUCUCUUUGGGCUUUACGAAAAAGUAUCACAUGCCAAGUUUGGCCUCACGGUAUAAAAGUUAUAGAGUCAUAAAGUUUUAACCAAAAAAAACAAAUUAAAAAAAAAGAGGGAUGCAACACGAGGACUUCCCGGGAGGUAACCCAUCCUAGUACUACUCUCUCCCAAGCACGCGUAACUAAAGGUCAAAAUUUAGAGU
Molecule: small RNA, 222 nt
Filed under: Arabidopsis thaliana (thale cress)
Lineage: Eukaryota; Viridiplantae; Streptophyta; Magnoliopsida; Brassicales; Brassicaceae
Description: ATSL274530
Source: RNAcentral